RNAcentral lists this ribosomal RNA (442 nucleotides) under uncultured bacterium. Its description in RNAcentral is "partial 16S ribosomal RNA". It matches the Rfam family "Bacterial small subunit ribosomal RNA", at positions 338 to 795 of the family's 1533-position model. The record is from RNAcentral.
CCUACGGGAGGCAGCAGUAGGGAAUCUUUCACAAUGGGCGAAAGCCUGAUGGAGCAACGCCGCGUGCAGGAUGAAGGCCUUCGGGUUGUAAACUGCUUUUAUAAGCGAGAAAUAUGAUGGUAACUUAUGAAUAAGGAUCGGCUAACUACGUGCCAGCAGCCGCGGUCAUACGUAGGAUCCGAGCAUUAUCCGGAGUGACUGGGUGUAAAGAGUUGCGUAGGUGGCAUAAUAAGUAGCUAGUGAAAUCUGGUGGCUCAACCAUUCAGACUAUUAGCUAAACUGUUAAGCUCGAGACCGUUAGGGGUAACUGGAAUGUCUAGUGUAGGAGUGAAAUCCGUAGAUAUUAGAAGGAACACCAAUAGCGUAGGCAGGUUGCUGGGACGGUUCUGACACGAAGGCACGAAAGCGUAGGGAGCAAACGGGAUUAGAUACCCGGGUAGUC